GUUUCAUCAUCCUGGCCAUCUCUGAGGACAGGACUGUCGCCAUUGUUGUACCAAUCCUGUGUCCUCUCGGUGUUCCUCUCGACGUGCUGCUCAUCGUCCUGAGCAAAUUUAUCAGCCCUAUAAUCACGGAAACGUCGGUUGGCAUCUACCUGCCAUUGAUCCUGACGCAUCUUCCUACGAGCUAAUUCCAGGAGGUAUCUCUCUCGUAGCACAUCCAGAGGAUUCACGAUUGAUAAGGAACCCAAUCUCUUUGGACGCAGUAAUGGCGAAUCGCGACCACUGUUCGAGUCGAACGGCUCCAUCUGCAAUUGACGAUGACGCGUGUGCUGGAUACGAUAAUGUAGAGAAUUAAAGGAAGUACUGGGAGUGGCGAUGAGGGAAAUGCAACUGAAAGAUCGAAAUACGAACACGAUUCUCAUAUGGCAAAGGGACAAAGGGUGUCUAUUACUUAUUAAUCUACACGGUGGACGCUUUUUAUUCAGAUUCUCUUUACACAAAGUACUUUUGAUGGGGAUUUUUAUUUGUGACAAGCCUAAGAAUUUACCACGCAUCAAGCGGCAUUGGAUUAGACCAUAAGAAGCCGCUGAUCGAACUCGCAUAAUAAAUAACGUUAAGAUGCGAUUUGAGUAUCACGAUACAUCCCAGAAGAAAUGAUUAUAUAUAAUCAUAUAAAAUGAAACGAUAUCAGAAGGUGUAAAAUCGAAGCAGCACUUACACCUCAGAUGCAUACUGCAUUUGUGGGAAAAUUUUAUAUUCACUGUACAGCACGAAGAUGCUUUUAGCGUUUAGUACUUUUUUUUUCCUGGCGUCAUUCUAUCUUAGUUGUUGAAGGAACAAAAAUUAAACUAGCCCAGGGCGCAUAUGUUUUACCGAAAGACAAAAGAAAAAAGAAUGUUAGAGUAUUAAAAUAGGAAAAUUAAAAUUGCAGGUAACUCGGUACGUAUGAGCCGUUUAAACUUUUAUGAGAGAAAAAUAAAUUACUAAAUUGUACCAGAAUGCAAUAUUCGCUGAAAUUUCAAGAUACGAAUCCAGACUCGCUCAACUGUUUCAUAAAGAGAUCUUUCGGUUACAAUCCACUACGUUUCCUACCACGCUCAGGGUAAUAAGACAGAAUGAUCUCGUUUAUAUAGCUAUCGCAGUGUAUGUACACUACGCUAUCGCAAUGUUUCCUUCUCCCAUUUUCAAUUGCGCCCCAAGGAGAAAAUAUGUUCAGGUUAUAUCAAGACCAUACGUAUCCCUAUACCGAUCGGACUAUCAUACUUGGCGAUAACGUGACUUUUUCCUUAUACCCAGCAUUUACCAAUCAUAGCAAAUGUACAUAAAAUGAGAAAACGAACGUUGAGUUAUAAAUAAUUUAGGAUAAACGAAGCAAAAAGUUUAUCGUCAAUUUCUUUGGCAAUUGUUUUUCAUUUGGGAAAACGAGAGGAAGUGAAAAUGAAGAAAAAUGUUAUACUGGUAAUUCAACUAAAGUACAUAUUGUCGGAUCUAGUUAUUGGAAAUUUCACAAAGCCCAAUGUCUGACUUGUUCGUGGAAUUAAGAUCAUAUUGCUGUUCUUCAAUCGUACCUCCAAUCCUGGGAUUUGAUUCAAGAGGAGCAGAAGCUCUGGACGAUCCGCCAUUUGAAGUUCCCGCCUACGAUACGUCGGAUAGGAAAGUGGCG
Cephus cinctus (wheat stem sawfly) is the source of this 1660-nucleotide long non-coding RNA. RefSeq lists it as uncharacterized. Lineage: Eukaryota; Metazoa; Arthropoda; Insecta; Hymenoptera; Cephidae. The transcript is spliced from 8 exons. The record is from RefSeq and is a predicted model, not a curated record.